GUUCUAUUGUCGGUUUGUUGUCUCUUUGACACAUUCCCUAUUUCCAUUCCCAAUUUUAUUUGCCUUUCAACUGUUUUGGCACAUCUUUUUGAAAUUUUGAAUCCUAAAAUUGAGAAUGGAAAUGGGGAAUGUGCCAAAGAGACAAGCGUAAUUAGUGAG
RNAcentral lists this small RNA (159 nucleotides) under Mytilus galloprovincialis (Mediterranean mussel). The record is from RNAcentral. Lineage: Eukaryota; Metazoa; Mollusca; Bivalvia; Mytilida; Mytilidae.